AUACGGAGGGUGCAAGCGUUACUCGGAAUCACUGGGCGUAAAGCGCGCGCAGGCGGUCUUUUAAGUUGGAUGUGAAAGCCUACGGCUCAACCGUAGAACUGCAUCCAAAGCUAUUAGACUAGAGUGUGGGAGAGGAAGAUGGAAUUAGUUGUGUAGGGGUAAAAUCCGUAGAGAUAACUAGGAAUACCAAAAGCGAAGGCAAUCUUCUGGAACACUACUGACGCUGAGGCGCGAAAGCGUGGGGAGCAAACAGGAUUAGAAACCCUAGUAGUCC
This 274-nucleotide ribosomal RNA is filed under the name uncultured bacterium. Its description in RNAcentral is "partial 16S ribosomal RNA". It matches the Rfam family "Bacterial small subunit ribosomal RNA", at positions 523 to 796 of the family's 1533-position model. The record is from RNAcentral.